Malania oleifera is the source of this 8278-nucleotide long non-coding RNA. RefSeq lists it as uncharacterized. Lineage: Eukaryota; Viridiplantae; Streptophyta; Magnoliopsida; Santalales; Ximeniaceae. The record is from RefSeq and is a predicted model, not a curated record. The transcript has 7 exons.
UAAUGCAUGGAGCUGCUGACAGGUAAAAUAUUAAAUGCCUGCGGUACUUUGCUGUGAUCUUCCCUGCUCUUGGUGGUUAGGUAAUUUCUCCUAGGAUGUUGUAAGCUCAGUUUUUUAUCAUAGCUUCCUCUUGAAGUUCCGGAUUUUGGAAGCUCUGAAGUGUUGUAAGUUUUGGUUUGUUAAGUCCUGAAAUUGCUGUUUUGCGCUAGUGUGUACUGCCUGAAUUCUUCUCAAUCUCCUUUCUGAGAUAAUUCAACCAUGGAUACUGCCUCUAACCGUACGAGGGGAAGUUUUGGAGGACGAGGAUGAGGUUUGGAUUGCGGUUGGCCAGCGAUUGUGUAUUAGUACGAGGAGUUCAUAGUGGAAAUUCUUACAUUUGCACACAUUGUGGAAAGAUUGUUGAUCCCUAUUGGUAUCUUCUUGGGAAAUCAACUUGGGCCAAUAAGUCUCUUGUGAAGGGCAGUUCUACUAUUGACACUUCAAAUGCACCUAGCCACUCCUUUGUGGAGUUCACUAUAUCAUUUGCUAUGUUUCAAGAGGAGUUUAACAAUCUUUUUGCAUGGUUCAACAGCUCCAAACUCCAUCUUUUACAUGUAGUGCUACUAUGGCCCAUUCAGACGAAGAAGUGGAUUGAUGGAGCACUUGAGAAGGUUGGCAUGUACUAUUUAAUGGUGGUCGUGGUGAGAUCAAUUUUGUUUUAUGAAUUCUUCAAUUUCGACUCAUGGUGUUUCUAUUGAUCAAUGACACUCGUUUGGGUCAUGCAUCCAUUCAAAAACUACAAGAAUUUUUUCCUUUGUGCAAAUUCGUUUCUCAUUAUAAGUGUUCUGUGUGUUAGUUGAGAAAGCAUAUUAGGACAUCUUUUCCAUCUAGAGUCGAGCCUCAUAGUAAAUCACUGCUUUCUCGUAUUCAUUCAUAUAUUUUGGGGUCCCUAUAGAGUCAAGAAUUUGAAUGCUCAUUAAUAUUUUGUGUUCCUUGUGGAUUAUUUUUGCGUAUGACCUAGAUCUAUUUCUUAAAAGAUAGGUCUAAAUCUUUUGAAUGUAUUUACUUAGUUCUACUAGGAAAUAAAACUCAUUUUGGCAUUAGUAUUCAAAUUUCUGAUUUGAUAAUGCACUUGAAUUUGUUCAAAAUGAGCUUUAGUCUUUUUUCUUGGGCAAAGGGAUUAUUCAUUAAACAUCAUGCAUGCAUACCCCUCAAUAGAAUGGAUUAGCUGAAUUAAAAAAAAAAAUAGACAUUACUUGACAUAGCAUGAUCCCUACUCCUUUAUAUGCAUGUUCCUAAAACGUUUUGGACUGAUGCUCAUCUUAUAGCCUUUUUUUGCUCAACAGGAUGCCCUCAAGUGUUUUAAAGAGACAUUCUCUCUAUUAUGUACAUAGAAGCAUCCAUGUUCUUUGUUGUAUCUUGUCUCUUUGGGUGCGCAUGUGUUUUUCUUGUUCCACAUAUUAGUCAUGAGAAGUUCUCUCCCUGUACUGUUAAAUGUGUCUUUGUUGGGUAUUCGAGAACUUAGAAAGGAUAUGGAUGUUAUGAUCCCCACACUUGUGGGAAAUAUGUUAGUGUGAAUGUCACCUUUUUUUAGGAUAUACCUUAUUUCUCUAGUGUCAGGGUUCUCUUUGGAUGGAUUUAUUUUGAUUCCAUCAAUGAUUUAUGGUUCCCCCUUUGGUGUUUAUCCUCCUUUGCCUACCCUUAUCUCUCUUGAGAAAUCUUUUGCACCUUUUCCAAAUCCUUAGUUAUUGGUCUAGAGAAACAAUUUAAAGUUUAUGAAUGAUGAAAACCAAACACAAACAUCACUAUUUCGACUUCUAUUUUGGAGAUCCAUACCAAUGUGAGUUGGAUUUGCCUAUUGCUUGUCAAAAGGUACUCAAACAUGUGCUUAGUAGUCCUUUGUUGCUUAUCCUUUUGCUCAUUAUGUUAUUCUUCACCUUCCUAGUCCUAUGCGUUUUUUGCCUUGUAUAUUUAGAAUAGUCAUAACGGUGUAACGCCAUAAUGGUGCAACACAAUAAAGCUUCCUAUCCAUAAUGGUGCAAUGCCAUAAUGGUGCAACGCUAUAGAGCUUUCCUAUCCUUUCUUGUGCCAAAAUUCAAGUUAUGGUAUAAAAGGCCUUCAAAGUAUAUGGACAAACCCUAUUUUCACCAAAUAUGCCAAACAACCUAUCCCAAAGAGCCAACAUGAAAGGGCAAUGAAGAAAGUGAUAUGCUCAAGUCUCUUCACCUAUGCAAAGGACACAAAUGUCGGAGGACAUGGCCUUGUUAGGUCUUCUCUUCUGAAGCAAAUCAUUGGUAUUAAUUCUUUCAAGUAUUGCACUUUUAAUGAAAGCUUUUAUUUUUUUAGGGAGUUAGCUUUCCAAAUCAAAGGAUACAAAGCAAAAGGAUCCGCAGUAGAAUCACAAGUCAAGUAGGUGAAAAAAGAUUCACAGUAGAACUCCCUAGAAGGAUCUAAACUCCAAACUGUUCCAUCACUCGCUAAAUGAACAUGAAAAGAACCGAGCAACCCAGUCAAAAGAACCAUCUCAUUAAUCUCUUUCUCAUUUAGAUUUCUCUUAAAAUGGAAGUUCCAAGAAUGCCCAUUUUCUUGCAAAAGAAGAAAAGUAGAAAUUGGGGUGUCACGAGGAUUUGAUAAACGAAAAAAACGAGGGAAAGUACUAGCUAAAGGCAUCUCCCCCACCCAAUGAUCCUCCAAAAAGCGAAUAUGCUCCCGUUACCAAUUGCAUAUAAUUCACUUUAGGAAGGAAAUAAUCAUAAAUUUGAGAUACAAACUGAAUAAGUAUUGUUAAUUCCCACUUUAGCAUCCCAGCCAUUUUUGUAGCAUUCCAAAUUAACUGUGAAUUAACUUAUGUCAAAGAGAAUUAGGUUCUAAAAGAAAGCACCAUAACCAUUUUCUCACCAAAGAGACAUUUUUGGACACCACGUUACCCAUGACCCAAGCCUCCCUCUCUUUUAGGCCUAUAAGCAGUCUUCCAACCUACAAGAUGGUCUCUACUACCCUCUCCCCCACUAGACCAUAAGAAAUCCCUCAUUAAUUGCUUGAGCCUCCUCGCUAAUCUCAUAGGGAUUGAAAAAAGAAAAAGGUAAUGCAAAGGUAUAGAAGAUAGACAAGCAUGGAUAAGGGUAAUACAACCCCCUAAAGUGAAGAACACUCUUUUCCACCCAUCCAAUCUAUUAGCCACUCUAUCAAAAAUAGGAUCCCAGAAAGAGUCUGCAUUAGGAUUACCACCAAAGGGGACACCUAAAUAUGCAAUAGGCCAAGUCAAAAUGGCACAACCAGCUAGCCUAGCAAAAGAAUCCACAUUAAUACCCAGACCCACCAGACCGCCAAUAGCCAACAAAUUAGAGAAGCAACUUAUCUUAUUUGAUAGGAAGAUAAUAGUAUCGUCUGCAAAUUGAAGAUGAUAAAUAAUGCAAUUCUAUUAACCUACCUUAAUCCCCUCCACCAACCCUUUAUCUACCCCUUUCUCAAUCAUCCUACUCAAGACAUCAACCAUGAUAUUAAAGAGAAAGGGAGAAACAGUAUCUCCCUGCCUUAGACCCCUGGAUGCACGAAACCAAGAUUUGGCCUCGCCGUUUACUAAGAUAGAAAAGAUCACAGAAGAUAGACACCCUCUAAUCCAUUCCUCCACCUCAGCCUGAAACCUUUUCUAGCCAUAAUCUUGUCCAAGAAGCUCUAGCUCACCCUAUCAUAAGCUUCCUCAAAAUCCAAAUUCAACAAGACACCUCUUAUUCCUACGAACAGCAUCUUCAACUACCUUAUUAGCUAUCAAGACAGCAUCUAGGAUCUGUUUGUUACCUAUAAAGCACUUUGGCUAAGAGAGAUAGUGUCCUCCAAAAUAAUAGUCAACCUCUUAGAUAACACCUCAGUCAAAAUCUUAUAGGCGCUAGUUACUAGGCUAAUAGGUCUAAAGUGCUCGACUUUAACUGCACCAUCUUUUUUGGGGACCAAGGUAAUAAAAGUGCGAUUCAAACUCCUGCCCACCACUCCAUUUUAAAAGAAUUCAAGAAAAGAUUUGAGGAGGUCUCACUUCAAGGUGUCCCAACUAUCUUGAAAGAAAGAGGAUCCUUUUCUCUAUCCAUCUCAAAAAUCGAGCUUUUAAUCUCCUCUUCCUCAAAUGGUCUCUUUAGUCAAGUAGCUUUAUUAGGUGAUAUUGGACACCAAUCCAGCCCCUUAAUCAUAACUUUACUCUCAUCCUCCUCUAAAAAGAGAUUCUUGUGAAGUUCAGUAAUCAGGCCAGCAAUGCGGUUAGGAUCCCUAACAACCUCUCCCCUAUCAUUCUCAAGUUCUUUAGUAAAGUUCCUUCUUCUCGUACCAGUUACCACACCCUGUGGAAAAACCUAGAAUUAAAAUCCCCAUUCCUGACCCAAUUUGUUGUAGAUUUUUAUUUCCAACUCAUCUCUUCUUUAAAAACAACUUUUUCAAGCUCAUUAGAUAAUUGGACUUGUCUACCCACAAUGUCCUCAGAAAGAGGUUCCUCCUCAGCUAGUCUAUCAAUCACACCUAGUUCCUGAAGAUUAUAUAUAUCUUUUUCCAAGACCGAACAUCACCAAAAGUUUCCUUAUUCCAGUUUUUUAACUUCUCUUUCACAUAUCUCAAUCUUUUCAUAAAACAAAACCUUACCAACCUUCCAUAGUGCACUCACUCCAUCAAUUCCCAGCCAAGCUCUGAAAAUCUGGAUGAGUCAACCACAUGUUUUCAAAUCUAAACAGAGCAAGGUUCCACUUGACAGGAUUAGAUUCAAGAACCAAAGGGCAAUGAUCAGAUUCUAGGAAGUAUUUAUUAAGGGUGGGAAAAGCAUCUUUUGGUUCAGUGGUAAACAGAAACCUAUCGAUUCUAGUAGCCACUAUCCUAUUGCCAUCUGCAAUCCUAAUUGCUGUAUUUUUCCACUGAAAAUGUUUGGUGCCUAUAAGACUAAAGCUGCCAUAGAUAACUGCAAUGCUUUAGUUGUAUUUGGUUCAUACUUCCGCGAGUUCAUGACCGUCAUGAAUGAUGUGAAAUAAUAAGAAUUUACUUUCUGUUAUCAAUAUCGUGCAAAGAUUAAUUUGAUAAUUAGUUAUAAUUCACCCACUUCCUGCAAGAAUGGAAGCUGUGAGAAUAGACACUAGGUUAAUGUUACUUUCUGUUAUCAAUAAGAUGUAAAGAUAACUUUGAUAAUUACUUCAAAUUCAUCCCACUUCCUGCAAAAGUAGAAGUAAGAUGCUUCUCAAGACUUCGCUUUGGGACUACUGUUGCUUCUGAAGAAUACACCUUUCUUUUUUACCACACAUUUAAAUUUACUGCUUUUGGUGAUAGUGGCUAUGCAGCUGUCAACAGCAUCAUCAGACAGAGCCUAAAUGUGAGUUUGGAGGAUGAUCUUAUCUUUGUGGAUGAUGCAAUAUUGCAAUGGGCCAGAUGGAAUAGAUAAAUGAGCUGAUUGGGGCUGGUAUUUUGUCCCACUUCUUCGUUCGUGGGGAGUCUAGUGGGAAGAAUGUAGAAGCACAACAAUAGUUUGACAAGAUGGAUUGUGGUACUCCGAUCUGAUGGGAAAAAGAAGUUUUUAUGGACAGCGGUAAAAGUAAGGGUUGUGAAGCAAACAAUAGGGUGUGCCCAUGGCUAGUCAUAAGGAGAAAAAUGACAAAGAACUUGCAUUUUGGUUCUCCUUUCUUUUUAAGUGGAUAAAGGUGUGAUUUGAUACUAUAAUUUAGUUUGCAAUUGCACAUAAAUUUACAGUUUAUAUAUUGUGCUUAUUUAACUUUGUAUUUGAUACCUGUCUUAUAACUAUCUGCCAUAGUCCUAAUUUCAGGAGGCUGAAGAAUUAUGGAAUCAUGGAGUGCCUCUAGAUCUUCUUUUGAAUGCUUUGGAAUGUAAUAUUUUUAAUUUUUAAAAGAACUCGAACCAAAAUAGAGUGCAUGAACUACAUGAUAAGAGAUCAGUGCGAAGUUAAAAUGAUGAGCUAAAGAUUAUGGAAUGCAUGUUAAUACUCAAUUCUUAUUUAUUUAUUUAUUUAUUCAUUUAUUGUUGUUAGAGGGGGUGGGGUUGGGGAGGGGGAGGGGGGGGGGGGUGUGUGUUUGAUUUCAGAAGAUAGAUUUCAUGGAAUUUUAGCAGCCAUGUGAGUUGAAGACAUGCACCCUGUAAACAAAAAACUUACCGCACCUGCACCCUGCAAGCAAAAAUUGUAUGUCAUGCAUUUCGUUGUUAGGCCACUAUUAAGCAACAUAUUCAGGGUUAUGUUAUGCAAGUAGGGGGCUGUUGAAAUGGAUUGGUGGACUAUUAUUUGGCAUAAAAUAGAAGCAUAUUCAUGCAUAAAUCUACAGUUAGGUGAUGAAAUUUCACUUGCCCCAUUGAUGGGUUUUGGAUGCAUUUUAAUGCACCCCUAAUGAAAGUUAUGCAUGUAGGAGGCUCUUGAGAUGGAUUGGUGGACUAUUAUUUGGCAUAAAAUUAGAAGCAUAUUCAUGCGUAAAUCUACAAUUAGGUGAUGAAAUUUCACUUGCCCCAUUGAUGGGUUUUGGAUGCAUUUUAAUGCACCCCCAAUGAAAGCUUUGAGAUGGAGGCUAAUUUAAGGUAGCUGAAAUCAGGAUCCAAGAACUCUGCAAAACUGUAGUAGUAGUAGUAGUAAUAAUAGUAGUAGUAAUAAUAAUGAUAAUCAUAAUAAAAAAUGGCUUUUAAGAAUUUGUUGACACUGUUAUAUCUUCUUUAUGUAGAAGCUUGGACACGUGCCCUUAUCAACAAUGACAAUAACAACAACAAAGCCUUAAAUCUCACUAGGUGAAUCAGCUAUGUGGAUGUCAGCCUUUAAAGUUCAAUAUAUCCUUAUUGUUGCAUCUCCAUUACCUUGCUUUCCUUGUAUAUGUGUUUAAUGCAGCUGCUAACUGUGUAAUUCUUUUCAUAUUUGUGCUUGAUAAAUAAUUAUAUUGACAUUGGCUUUGGAACUAGACACUGGGAGAAGUUGCUUCCAUAUGCUCCGGAGUUUGCACUCCCAUAUUGGUUCUCUCAAAUUGCAGUGACUCUCUCUGUUCUGUUGCAGUCUGGAUUUUGUCUCUGCGUUGAACAUGCUGACUGUGAUUUCAAUUUGGGGUCAGAAUUGUUUAUCACGAAGUAUUCUGGUGAUGUCUUGAUUGAAUGAAAAUUUUAAUUAGUGCACAAUCCUAUUUUUGAAAAGUUUCAGGAGUCACAUAGUCUCACAUCCUGAAGAUCAUGAGGUUUAACUUUUUCUGCUAGCCAAUUGUUAGUUACUGAACACAAUUAUCCAAUUUGUGUAAUCCAAUAUUUUGUUAGUUGUGCAGGAUAUUGUUUAUAUUCAUCAGAUGUCUUGGUCAUUGAAGCACUUGAAAAGAUGGUGUUGAAAUGAGCUUCCUAUGCCAGAUAGAUGAUGUUUGGUUCCCCGGCGAAUCACAGUUGUUGGAUCUGAGUCGAAGAUCUUCAUCGAGAUUGUUGAGUCUUGUGGUGCUUCGGCAUUCCAUGGCACUUCACCAUCCUUCUCUUUCAAUGCUAUCGUCGGUAUACCAUUGCCGUCGCCCCUGCAAGACCAAUCCGGCCACUGUUGGAGCUGUUCUUCGCCUCUCUGCUCAGCCACAGUCUGCCUGCUACCACUGCUGGCUACCAAAUCCAACAGCCACUGCUGCCUUUCUCUGCUGAUAAGCUUUUCAAUUGGACGUGGUAUGAUGAUAAAGACACGAAUGUUUUCUGGGAAAAAAGAUCACUUUACUUCGUCAUGAUAUCACAGAAGUUGUGGAAAUAUGGAUAUUAUGAUAAGAACGCGGACUGCGGUGACAAUAUUUGAAAUGUGGUACUUUCAAUGGCAAAUGUUCUUGAAGUCUGGUCCUUAUUUUUUUUAUCUUACAAUAUUUUGGAACUAUUUGGGCUGUGAGAGAUGGUAUGACAACUCAUUUAGCACAUCUUCCAUAUCUGCGUCCAGCGACUGAGGUGGCAUAGUGAUGGUCAGAAGCAACAACAAUGGAAGCAGCAGAAGAUCCUGCAAUAAUGCAUUCUGCCGUUUGCAGUGGAACAGAGUCAAACAUCUGGCCCAAUAGAUCCAGAGCUGUGCUUGUUUGGGAUUCGUUUGCUUCUUGUUUCUCCGUUUCCUUUUCUUUGUUUUUUUUUUUUUUUUGGAUUUUUUUUCCGUAGAUAUGGAUGCCGGAGGUAAAUUCAGUUCUGUUUUAAAGGACCUCUUUUUAUAUUAUUAGGUAUCUCAACCAUGAUCAUUAUUUCGAGACUGAUGUAUCUUCAUAUUCAAGUAGAUAAUUGUUUAGACAAGGUUGCCAAGGCUUGUGCUGGAGCCUACAACUUUCUUCUGCUAUUAUACCAUGAAAUGUUGGUA